UAAUACGUAGGGGGCAAGCGUUGUCCGGAAUCAUUGGGCGUAAAGAGCGUGUAGGCGGCUUGGUAAGUCCGCUGUGAAAGUCCAGGGCUCAACCCUGGAAUGCCGGUGGAAACUGUCAAGCUUGAGUCCGGAAGAGGCGAGUGGAAUUCCUGGUGUAGCGGUGAAAUGCGCAGAUAUCAGGAGGAACACCAAUGGCGAAGGCAGCUCGCUGGGACGGUACUGACGCUGAGACGCGAAAGCGUGGGGAGCAAACAGGAUUAGAUACCCUGGUAGUCCACGCCGUAAACGAUGGGCACUAGGUGUGGGGGGUGUCGACUCCCUCCGUGCCGACGCUAACGCAUUAAGUGCCCCGCCUGGGGAGUACGGCCGCAAGGCUA
This 377-nucleotide ribosomal RNA is filed under the name uncultured bacterium. RNAcentral's name for it is "bacterial SSU rRNA". It matches the Rfam family "Bacterial small subunit ribosomal RNA", at positions 521 to 896 of the family's 1533-position model. The record is from RNAcentral.